AUGCACACACUCACUGUCAUGCACACACAUGUGUGCACACACACCACCCAGACACAGCCCUCCACAACACAGGGACCCACACAUACACACACUCAUGCACACACACAGUACCCAGACACAGCCCUCCACAACACAGGGACACACACAUACACACACUCAUGCACACACGCACCACCCAGACACAGUCCUCCACAACACAGGGACCCACACAUACACACUCAUGCACACACGCGUGUGCACACACACCAAGCAGACACGGUCCUACACAACUCAGGGACCCACACACGCACACAUUCUCAUGCAUACACGGGUGCACACAGCCUGCCCAGACACAGCCCUCCACAACACAGGGACCCACCCACGCACACACUCACUCUCAUGCACACACGCGUGUCCACACACACCACCCAGACACAGCCCUCCACAACACAGGGACCCACACACGCACACACUAAGGAAAUCUGGAAACACCACGUGACCUCCGGUGGCAAGGCCACGACUGGAAGCCUGGCGGCCUCUCCGGGUUCCAGGUCCCGAUGCCAAGGCCGCCCCUCCCUUAACUCACAAGGAGGUCACCACCCCCGCUCCACAGCAGCCCGGAGGCCAGCGCCGAGGUCCCCGCGCGUGCGCCUGUGUCCCCGGCUCCGGGGAAGGCAGCCCUACCUUAGGGGGCUGGGAGCCUGCGCGCCGCCCCGUGGCUCCUGGCGGCGUCGGGAUGUGGCAGCAGCCGGGGCUUCCUCUCGCAGCGGCCGCCGUCCCGGAGGCCGGCAGCGCCCCCUGGCGGGCCCGGGCAGGAGGCGUCCGACGAGGAGGGCGCCAGGGAGGCGGGCGCGGGACGGUGCAGCCGGAGGCCUGUCCCUGCAGGUGCAGGUGGGACCUGCCGCUCCCCUGCGCACCCACGGUGACAACCCCUCCCAGAGCCCUGCCGCCCGCGGAGCCUCCCCCAGUGACCUGUGCGGUCCCCAACGGAGAGGCGGGAAGCGAGCCCUGGAGAAGCCUGGCGACGCGGGCAAAGCCACCUAG
Molecule: long non-coding RNA, 1023 nt
Filed under: Papio anubis (olive baboon)
Lineage: Eukaryota; Metazoa; Chordata; Mammalia; Primates; Cercopithecidae
Description: lncRNA (ENSPANG00000041692.1)
Source: RNAcentral